RNAcentral lists this ribosomal RNA (401 nucleotides) under uncultured bacterium. RNAcentral's name for it is "bacterial SSU rRNA". It matches the Rfam family "Bacterial small subunit ribosomal RNA", at positions 359 to 776 of the family's 1533-position model. The record is from RNAcentral.
GGAUAUUGCGCAAUGGGCGAAAGCCUGACGCAGCGACGCCGCGUGGGUGAAGAAGGGUUUCGGCUCGUAAAGCCCUUUUCUGCGUGACGAUAAUGACGGUAGCCCAGGAAGAAGUGUCGGCUAACUACGUGCCAGCAGCCGCGGUAAAACGUAGGACGCGAACGUUAUCCGGAAUUACUGGGCGUAAAGGGCGCGCAGGCGGUUGGGUAAGUUAGGCAUGAAAGCUCCCUGGCUAAACCGGGAGAGGAUGUCUGAUACUGGUCAACUAGAGUACGAUAGAGGGGUGUAGAAUUCCGCGUGUAGUGGUGAAAUGCGUAGAGAUGCGGAGGAAUACCAGUGGCGAAGGCGGCACCCUGGAUCGAGACUGACGCUGAGGCGCGAAAGCAUGGGUAGCGAACGGG